This is a long non-coding RNA of Dioscorea cayenensis subsp. rotundata (Guinea yam), 1920 nucleotides long. RefSeq lists it as uncharacterized. NCBI's taxonomy places the organism in Eukaryota, Viridiplantae, Streptophyta, Magnoliopsida, Dioscoreales, Dioscoreaceae. The record is from RefSeq and is a predicted model, not a curated record. The transcript has 3 exons.
GCAAAAGCAAAACAUCGGUAGCCCUAAUCCCUAAUUGCAGUGCCACACCACCACCUCGCCUUGCGCCUGGCAAGGUGUCGUCUACGAGAACGACCGUGUCGUGCUCCUCCGCCGGCCUGACUUCGGCUUCAUUGGCCAUAUCCCCAUCCUCCGGUUCUUGGCAACUUCACUGUUCUCCAUACCAUCAGCCUCUGGUUCAACGCGGUCUUCGGUGCCAACCCCUCCGACCUUGCCUUGCUCUCCCAACGUCGCAAUCGCUUCUUAGGCGGGGUUAGGGACGCUCACGGGUUGAAGAAAACUAGCUCACCGGCGAGAUCUCGAAUCUCGACCUCCCAAAUCUGGUUCAAUUCAACGUGUCCUACAACCAAUUGAAUGGAUCGGUGUCGCUGAAGCUCUAAAGCAAGCCAGUAGAGAUGUUUCUCGGUAUGUCACUCUGCGGUGGUCCUCUCACUCCCUGCCCGAUGUGAUCUCACCCAUGAGCUCUAUUCCCUCUCCUCCCAGUAGUGAAGCCAAGAAGGACCAUAAGCUUUCAGGCGGCGCCAUCGCCAGAAUCACUAUCGGGGUUGUCGUCGAGUUCGUGUUGCUUCUCCUAAUCAUCAUCCUCCUCUACAUGAGAAAAUCUAGCAAGUCAGGGACCAUUGCGGUGGCGGCGAAGCUGCCUAAAUUUAUGUCGCCCUUCGUGACAAAGGCAUUGUCAACGGAGAGCCAGAGAAUGGAGUGCCUCAUCGUCCACCACCGACAUCAGUGGCGGACCCCGGCGAAGGGAGAGAAUACCAAGAAGCUGCUAUUCUUUCGGACGGGGCUGAGGACGUUUGAGCUUGAGGACUUGUUGAGGGUAUCAGCGAAGGUUCUGGGCAAUGGGACCUUUGGGACAGUGUACAAAGCUUAGCUGGAGAUUGGGACGGUAGUGGCCGUGAAGAGGUUGAGGGAUGUGAGCUUACCUAAUAAGGAGUUCAAGGAGAAGAUUGAGGCUGUGUGCGCCAUGGAUCACCCAAAUUUUGUUCCUCUCUGAGCUUAUUACUACAACAAUGAUGAGAAGGUCCUGGUUUAUGACUACAUGUCCAUGGGAAGCCUUUCUAAUCUAUUGCAUGGACUGUUUUGGCCGUCCGAUUGCAAGUGCACUGGAUGCUUAGUUUGAUGUUUUCGAACAUUUUUCGAAUGAAAAUAACAAGACAUUGCAACGUAGCACAAAUACUACUAAAUGUCUCAAUCUAGGAUCAUACAACUACCUUGGCUUCAUUGCUGCAGACGAAUACUGCACUCCUCGAGUUAUUGAGUCUUUGAAGAAGUUUUUACCCAGUACCUGUAGCGUUUGUGACAAUGCGGGUAAAAAUCCGUAUUCCUGCAGUUUAUGUUUGAGAAUGCAUGUUUAGCAGUUUUACAACUCAGCUAAUUUUGAGGAGUUCUUUUGCAUGAACUACAAAGCUGCAUACUGAAUUAGAGGAGUUAGUUGCUCGAUUUGUUGGAAAGCCAGUAACCAUUUUUUUUUGGCAUUGGUUAUGCAACAAACUCUGCUAUUAUUCCUGCUCUGAUUAGCAAGGUUUGUCUGAUUUUACUAGAUCAGAGUUAAGAAUGUACGAAAUGCAAAAUUUUUGCUUAUCUUGAUUAUUCACAGGGAGGGUUGAUAAUCAGUGAUUCUUUGAAUCAUAACUCCAUUGUCAAUGGUUCUCAAGGAUAAGGUGCAGUAGUUAGGGUUUUCUAACAUAACAGUAAGGUUUUUGCUCUAUCUGAACUCAGUCAAACAUUAUCAAUAGCAGAUUUAACAUUUGCAACUUGUAUUUUUGGCUCCAUCUCACUUGGAGGAAGUGCUGAGAGAGUAGAUCGCAAAAGGAUUGUUGGAACAUUUGUAUGGAUUAUUUGUAUUUUUGGUAUGAAUGAAAUGUUGGAUUAGAUAUUUAAUGAGAUAAUUUAUUUUAUACA